Molecule: long non-coding RNA, 821 nt
Filed under: Homo sapiens (human)
Lineage: Eukaryota; Metazoa; Chordata; Mammalia; Primates; Hominidae
Description: HSALNT0176614
Source: RNAcentral
UGGGCUUCCAGCCUCCAGAACGGUUUCCCAUCCAUAGGGAUGGGCUCUGGCCCUCUCGACCUUGCAGGAUCAAUGUUGAAGGUCCGCUGGGGUCGUGAACACAAAAGCCUGUAAGACACAGAACACCAAAACCUGGGAGACGUGAAGAGUGUGUUGUCCAUGGUGCCAUGUCACAGGGUGGGGCUGAAGAAGAUCUGGAAUCAAGCACCGUUAGAGUGUCUGCUUCUGGUUUGAAAUGAGCCCCCAACACCACUGUUGGCUCAAAGUAGAGGGGGGCACCCACUGAUACAAUCUUUCAGAGACUGAUUGGUAUGAAAACCCUGAAAAUGGGCCGGGCACAGUGGCUCAUGCCUGUAAUUCCAGCACUUUGGGAGGCCGAGGCAGGCAGAUCACCUGAGGUUAGGAGUUUAAGACCAGCCUCAACAUGGAGAAACACUGUCUCUACCAAAAAUACAAAAUUAGCCACGCAUGGUGGUGCCUGCCUGUAAUCCCAGCUACUCAGGGGGCUGAGGCAGGAGAAUUGCUUGAACCUGGGAGGCAGAGGUUGUGGUGAGCCAAGAUCGUGCCAUUGCACUCCAGCCUGGGCAACAAGAGCGAAAGUCCGUCUCAAAAAAAAAAAGAAAAGAAAAGAAAAGAAAGAAAGAAAACCCUGAAAAAGUCAUCACCUUGGACUUAACAACUCUACCUAUAGAAGACCAGCAGACAAGUGAACUAACAUAAUGGAAAAAGAUGUUCAUCCCAGUAUUGUUUAUGGUAGCAAAAAAAAAAAAAAAGAAAAAAGAGAAAUGUCCAGCAGGGAAUUGGUUAAGGAAGAAUUAUGU